GCCUCGCAGUUUUCAUGGUUUGUGCAAAAUUCAUCAGAAUCCACGAAAUGCUGUACUUCUUGAGAUCCUGUAUCCGUGAUCUCACUUUCCGGCGAUCCAUUUGAAUCCUCUCUAACUGAAUCUACAUCCACCACCUCACCGCCUGCAUUUUCCGUGUCUUCAUCGUGACAAUUGAUCUUCUCAUUAAACGAUUCCUUCACUACUUCACUCUGUUUCACGUCGGCGACCUCGACUCUAUCACUCACUUUCCUAGCAGCGAGUUUACGGAGUUCAAGCGUAACAUCAGCAAUCGAGUAAUACUUCUGCAUCUGAAGAAUCGGGACCCAAUUCAAUCUCCGUCGAUGUAUUGCGGAGAAAACCGGUUCGUACUCCGAUCGGUCGCCUUCCAGCUGAGUGAUAUGAUUACAAAGCGCAUCAAUAAUCGCAUUUGCAGCGGCGAAU
RNAcentral lists this unclassified non-coding RNA (441 nucleotides) under Hevea brasiliensis (rubber tree). Lineage: Eukaryota; Viridiplantae; Streptophyta; Magnoliopsida; Malpighiales; Euphorbiaceae. The record is from RNAcentral.